GGCCGUAACGGAUCAACCCUCACACGAAACGAUCCAAUCGCACGAUCGGCAUUGACCUCUUCCCCAGUCCAAGCCAAAAACGACCCCGCGCCGCCGUCCUCCCCGAUCGCCUCUCCCCCGCCGAUCUGCUCCCAAGAGCAAGAGGUGAACCCCCAUCCCCAGCCGAGCGAAUCAACGCGGGGUUCUUCUCGGCCUCUCGCGAUCUCACCACACUGUAACGAACCCGCCUUGUCCCCCGCCGCAGGACCCGCGUCCCCGGCCGGAGUAUAUCCCCAUGGCUCUGCCGUCGAGGCUGGCGUAGCUGCAGGCGAAGGCGUGCGAGGCGACAUGGUUCGCCGCGAAGCACGGGUGCACGUACCAGCGGUCGCUCGUCGAGAAGAACAAGAAGUACGUCGUGGAGCCCCCCACCAUCGAGAAGUGCCAGGAGCUCUCCAGGCAGCUCUUCUACACCCGCCUCGCCAGGUGCUCUCCGUUGCUGUGCACAAUCACUACAAGAGGAUAUACAACGAGUCAUCAAAGAAAUGUUCCUCGAAAAGCUUUGUGCAUGGUGGUGUUGGUACCAGUGGGGAUGAUGAGAUUGAGCUUGAAAAGAGUAACAUCCUUCUGAUUGGACCAACUGGGUCAGGUAAAACACUAUUAGCAAAAACAUUAGCUCGCUAUUUGAAUGUGCCAUUCGUGAUUGCUGAUGCAACAGCAAUCACACAGGCUGGAUAUUCUGGUGAAGAUGUGGAAUCUGUAAUUUACAAACUUCUAGUGGCAGCUGACUUCAACGUUGAAGCUGCAGAGCGCGGCAUUGUGUACAUUGACGAAGUUGAUAAGCUAACAAAGAAGGCUGAAUGCCGUGAGGACCGAAGGGAUUUCUCUGGAGAGGGUGUGCAGCAAGCAUUAUUAAAAAUAUUUGAAGGAACAGUCAUCAAUGUGCCAAGAAAAAGAAGUCGAGAUAAUGUACCCUAUGGUUAUAUUGAGGUAGAUACAAGAAAUAUCCUUUUCAUUUGUGGAGGAUUUAUAUUUUUCUCAAAGUACUUUUGUACUGCGCAAGACAUCAACUAUGUCCUGUUGGAUUUGGCAUACCAAUAUGUCAUGAGCUGCGGAACUGCGGCUGGACAACUGCUCUUCAGGGAUCUUGCUCUAUUGAUGCUGUUGAAAGUGAUGAUCUAAUUGCCUAUGGCCUUAUCCCAGAAUUCAUCGGAAGGUUGCCUAUAACAGUUGGCCUGACAAAUCUCAGUGAAGAGCAAUUGGUCCAGGUGCUCAGGGAGCCGAAAAAUGCAAUAGGAAAGCAAUACAAGAAGUUGUUCAAAAUGAACAAUGCCUACACCAGGGGUCAGCAUUGAGCCCUUAUUUAUUUGCUUUAGUGGUGGAUGAGGUCACAAGGGAUAUACAAGGUCAAGUUGCAUUUCACUGAAAAUGCUUUGCAUCUAAUAGCAAAGAAAGCAGCUGCAAAAGAAAUGGGGGCUCGUGGGCUACGAUCUAUAAUGGAGGACAUUCUGACAGAAGCGAUGUUUGAGAUUCCUGAUGCAAGGGAGGGGAAAGAGAAGAUAAUUGCUGUUCUUGUCGAUGAAGAGUCCGUAGGGCCAUUGCACCAUCGAGGAUGUGGAGCCAAAAUUUUCCGGGACGAUGGAGCCUUGGAACUGUAUGUAUACCAGAAUAACAUCAAGCUUCCCGGGCUAAUUCAGAGCAACCUCAGCGGCAGUCGCGUUUUCCGGAUCUGCCUACUAGUCGCAUUAUCAGCAAUUAAGCUCUGAAUCUACCAGAUGUUUCCUUGUUUUUCAUCGAUAUAUGAAUGGAUUGUACUGAUGCUGUGGAAGGCUAAUAUUUUUACGCAGUGAAAUAUAACAAGGUUUUACUAUCGUGCCAGCUGCUGAGAUAGUAAAUAGAAUGGUUGAUUGGCUGGAGCUCA
RNA transcript from Panicum virgatum (switchgrass), 1897 nucleotides. It is a transcript of the gene named CLP protease regulatory subunit CLPX1, mitochondrial-like, with no coding region annotated. NCBI's taxonomy places the organism in Eukaryota, Viridiplantae, Streptophyta, Magnoliopsida, Poales, Poaceae. The transcript has 15 exons. The record is from RefSeq and is a predicted model, not a curated record.